This 1087-nucleotide long non-coding RNA is filed under the name Ananas comosus (pineapple). RNAcentral's name for it is "long non-coding RNA (ACOM_LNC024796)". The record is from RNAcentral. Lineage: Eukaryota; Viridiplantae; Streptophyta; Magnoliopsida; Poales; Bromeliaceae.
CUAAUUCAUUCAAGUAUUAGAUGAAUUAAUGAGUUUAUUUAGGAUUCGUUUGAGAUUAUGGGGAGAUUGCGUUACGAGUGGUGAGAAAAUACGAUAAAAAAAUAUUCUGCUUAUUUUCGUAUGUAAUAUUGUAUUCCACAUAUCACGAUAAGUCGGUUAUGAUAUAUUUUGUGCGAUCCUAUACCGGACAUAUUUUUAUAUACUACUUUAAACCCAACUCCAUUUUAUCUAAUAGAGUCAGAUGAGCCUCAAUGCCAAAUUAAGCCUUAAUCUCACUCUUAAUGAUUAUUCCAUAAUAACCCCUUAAUUAGGGGGUGGAAUUAUUUUUUUUUGAGAGAUAGGUAGCAUGCUACCCGCUUCGUUUAUUUCUUUAGAAAUAAACUUAGCUAGAAAUGUGAAUCAACUAGGAUUGAAUUAUUAUUCCACCCUUUUGGUGGAAUAACAAUUCUUCACCUUUAUACCUUUACAACUUUAAAAAUAAAAUAUUACUAGCUAAUAUACUAUAUAUUUUUUUAUUAAGUUAUUAGCUAGAUUAAUAAUUAUCCAACUUGAUUUAUUACUAUAAUAAAUAUUUAAUUAACUAUUUAGUAAUUAAUUUAUUAUUCAUAACUAAUUAUAUAUCUAAUUACAAAAUUAAUCGAUUAAUAUUUUGACCAAUAUAACUGAUUAAAUAAUUAACUAUUAAUUUAUUAUAAUUUAUCAAAUUAUUUUAUAGUUAUUUAAUAUAUUAAUUAACAAUACUCAUGGUUAAUUUAUUAAUAAUUAAUUAAUGUCCUAAUUAAUUUGUUUAUCAAUAAUUAUGAUUAUCUAAUAGUAUUCAUGAUUAAUUAAUUAAUUAAUUUGUUAAAUUACUAUUUAAUUAAUAUUUUGAUGUUAAUUAUUUAUAUAAAAUAUUAUUAUUUUAAAACUAUAAUUACUCUUAUUCCUAUAGUUCCUGUCUAACUAUUCAAAUACUUUUUUUUAAAUUCUCAAAAAUAAUUUAAUUUUUAUCCAAAUAUAAAAUUAAUCUAUUUCUGUUUAUCUCCAAAGUUAUCUCCAAAAUUGUACCGGUCUCAGAAAUAAUUAAUAAUUAAAAAAAUUUAUUUUC